Molecule: small nuclear RNA, 106 nt
Organism: Chionomys nivalis (European snow vole)
Lineage: Eukaryota; Metazoa; Chordata; Mammalia; Rodentia; Cricetidae
Source: RefSeq, a predicted model, not a curated record
GCUCGCUUCGGCAGCGCAUAUACUACAAUUGGAAUGAUACAGAGAAGAUUAGUAUGGCCCCUUGCAUUUGCAUGACGUGCAAAUUCAUGAAGCAUUCCGUAUUUUU